CCUUGUAAAAGUUGUGAUGAUGCAGCCAAAGAAGAGCUUUGAAAAGCUACAUCUCAGACACCAAGGUCAAGAAAAGCAAUUGGCUCCUCAUAUGCUUUAAUGGGCGGUUCUUGAUAUUGGAGGAGGUGAUCCUGGAAAACCAGUAAGAAGCAUCAGCACAGUUGAAGAAAAACAGUGAGAAGCACCAUGGAGAAGAAAGAAGCAAAGAGCACAGAGCAACAGGCAGCAGAUGUUAUGAACACAAUCCAACUUCCAGAACCACCCACUGCUUCACUGCAGGAAUUGGGGUGGACUGAGUAUAUCCUGCAGCAAGAAUAAGGGAAAUUGAGACUAAGAAUUAAGGAGGAUAGGUGUUUGACUUAAGGUGAGCCUGAGGAAUGAGAGGAAAAGAUGUUUACUUGAGUGUUUAAUUGUUUAUGUUAUCCUUUUUUUUUUUGAUAACUGCAUCAAUGAUUGAAAAUUUCUUUUAAUUGGUAAUUCAUUAAAUUAAGUAAAAGUUGCCCAGUUUUUGCCUUUGAAGUUGGCAAGUGCAAUAGCCAAACCUUCAUUUCAUGAACAUCCUUUAGCAUAUUCUGCUUUGAUAAAAUAGAGAUGCAAUAAAAUCUUUGGAAACUACA
Non-coding RNA from Agelaius phoeniceus (red-winged blackbird), 617 nucleotides. The record is from RefSeq and is a predicted model, not a curated record. NCBI's taxonomy places the organism in Eukaryota, Metazoa, Chordata, Aves, Passeriformes, Icteridae.